GGAGUUUGGACCGUGUCUCAGUUCCAAUGUGGGGGACCUUCCUCUCAGAACCCCUACUGAUCGCGGGCUUGGUGGGCCGUUACCCCGCCAACAACCUAAUCAGACGCAUCCCCAUCCCAUAGCGGUGAAUCUUUCGUCCAGGUCAGAUGUCCUCUCUGGACAGCAUAGGGAAUUAAUCCGACUUUCGCCGGGCUGUGCCCUACUAUGGGGAAGGUUGGAUACGCGUUACUCACCCGUGCGCCGGUCGCCAUCAAGAGUUGCAAGCAACUCCCAUGCUGCCCCUCGACUUGCAUGUGUUAAGCCUGUAGCUAGCGUUCAUC
RNAcentral lists this ribosomal RNA (320 nucleotides) under uncultured Prevotella sp. RNAcentral describes it as "partial 16S ribosomal RNA". Lineage: Bacteria; Pseudomonadati; Bacteroidota; Bacteroidia; Bacteroidales; Prevotellaceae. The record is from RNAcentral.